GAUGAACGCUGGCGGCGUGCCUAACACAUGCAAGUCGAACGCUCGCAAGAGAGUGGCGCACGGGUGAGUAACACGUAGCUAAUCUGCCCUCAAGACAAGGAUAACUGUAGGAAACUACUGCUAAUACUUGAUAAGCUUACGGACUGUAGAGGUCUAUAAGAAAAGAUUUAUCGCUUGAGGAUGAGGCUGCGCGCCAUCAGCUAGUUGGUGAGGUAAUGGCUCACCAAGGCGACGACGGCUAGGGGACCUGAGAGGGUGACCCCCCCACACUGGGACUGAGACACGGCCCAGACUCCUACGGGAGGCAGCAGUGAGGAAUAUUGCACAAUGGGCGCAAGCCUGAUGCAGCGACGCCGCGUGGAUGAAGAAGGUUUUCGGACUGUAAAAUCCUUUUUCUGUGUGACGAGAGUGGACGGUAGCACAGGAAUAAGUCCUCGGCUAACUACGUGCCAGCAGCCGCGGU
Molecule: ribosomal RNA, 463 nt
Filed under: uncultured bacterium
Lineage: Bacteria
Description: bacterial SSU rRNA
Rfam family: Bacterial small subunit ribosomal RNA
Source: RNAcentral